Molecule: ribosomal RNA, 441 nt
Filed under: uncultured bacterium
Lineage: Bacteria
Description: partial 16S ribosomal RNA
Rfam family: Bacterial small subunit ribosomal RNA
Source: RNAcentral
CCUACGGGAGGCAGCAGUGGGGGAUAUUGCACAAUGGGGGAAACCCUGAUGCAGCGACGCCGCGUGAGUGAAGAAGUAUUUCGGUAUGUAAAGCUCUAUCAGCAGGGAAGAAAAAAGACGGUACCUGACUAAGAAGCCCCGGCUAACUACGUGCCAGCAGCCGCGGUAAUACGUAGGGGGCAAGCGUUAUCCGGAUUUACUGGGUGUAAAGGGAGCGUAGACGGCAAUACAAGUCGGAAGUGAAAUACCCGGGCUCAACCUGGGAACUGCUUUGGAAACUGUAUGGCUGGAGUGCUGGAGAGGUAAGCGGAAUUCCUAGUGUAGCGGUGAAAUGCGUAGAUAUUAGGAGGAACACCAGUGGCGAAGGCGGCAUACCGGCGGCGAUCUGACGCUGAGGCACGAAAGCGUGGGUAUCGAACAGGAUUAGAUACCCGGGUAGUC